This 253-nucleotide ribosomal RNA is filed under the name uncultured bacterium. RNAcentral describes it as "partial 16S ribosomal RNA". It matches the Rfam family "Bacterial small subunit ribosomal RNA", at positions 524 to 776 of the family's 1533-position model. The record is from RNAcentral.
UACGUAGGAUGCAAGCGUUGUCCGGAAUUAUUGGGCGUAAAGAGCGAGCAGGCGGUCAUUCAAGUCAGAUGUGAAAUAUCCGGGCUUAACCCGGAGGGGUCAUUUGAAACUGGGUGACUAGAGUACAGCAGAGGAUAGCGGAAUUCCCGGUGUAGUGGUGAAAUUCGUAGAUAUCGGGAGGAACACCGGUGGCGAAGGCGGCGGCCUGGGUUGACACUGACGCUGAGGCGCGAAAGCGUGGGGAGCAAACAGG